RNAcentral lists this transfer RNA (141 nucleotides) under Rhodocytophaga aerolata. RNAcentral's name for it is "tRNA-OTHER". It matches the Rfam family "tRNA". Rfam says of the family: Transfer RNA (tRNA) molecules are approximately 80 nucleotides in length. Their secondary structure includes four short double-helical elements and three loops (D, anti-codon, and T loops). Lineage: Bacteria; Pseudomonadati; Bacteroidota; Cytophagia; Cytophagales; Rhodocytophagaceae. The record is from RNAcentral.
CCGGAAUAGCUCAGUGGUAGAGCAACAUAAGCGACUUAUUGUUUGUUACCCCUAUUUUAUAAAGGUGCCGUAGAAAAGUAUUUCUUCGCUUUGGGUGCUAGUGUUCGCAAGAACGUGCAGGUUCGAGUCCUGCUUUCGGAG